Molecule: non-coding RNA, 253 nt
Filed under: uncultured bacterium
Lineage: Bacteria
Also listed under: 1 other name
Description: partial 16S ribosomal RNA
Rfam family: Bacterial small subunit ribosomal RNA
Source: RNAcentral
UACGGAGGGUGCAAGCGUUGCUCGGAAUUAUUGGGCGUAAAGGGCAGGUAGGUGGUCUCAUUUGUCUGGGGUGAAAGCCUUGAGCUUAACUCAAGAAGUGCCCCAGAAACGGUGAGACUAGAGUUCUGGAGAGGGUCGUGGAAUUCCCGGUGUAGCGGUGAAAUGCGUAGAGAUCGGGAGGAACACCAGAGGCGAAAGCGGCGACCUGGACAGAUACUGACACUCAACUGCGAAAGCGUGGGGAGCAAACAGG